RNAcentral lists this ribosomal RNA (368 nucleotides) under uncultured phototrophic eukaryote. RNAcentral describes it as "SSU rRNA". It matches the Rfam family "Bacterial small subunit ribosomal RNA", at positions 524 to 896 of the family's 1533-position model. The record is from RNAcentral.
UACGGGGGAUGCAAGCGUUAUCCGGAAUCAUUGGGCGUAAAGCGCCUGUAGGUUGUUUAAUAAGUCUGUUGUUAAAGACUAGGGCUCAACCCUAGAAAAGCAAUGGAAACUACUAGACUAGAGUAUGGCAGGGGUAGAGGGAAUUUCUAGUGUAGCGGUGAAAUGCGUAGAUAUUAGAAAGAACACCGGUGGCGAAAGCGCUCUACUGGACCAUUACUGACACUCAGAGGCGAAAGCUAGGGUAGCAAAAGGGAUUAGAUACCCCUGUAGUCCUAGCCGUAAACGAUGGAUACUACAUGUUGUGCAUAUGUACAGUAUGGUAGCUAACGCGUUAAGUAUCCCGCCUGGGGAGUACGCCCGCAAGGGUG